RNAcentral lists this long non-coding RNA (956 nucleotides) under Homo sapiens (human). RNAcentral's name for it is "HSALNT0079599". The record is from RNAcentral. Lineage: Eukaryota; Metazoa; Chordata; Mammalia; Primates; Hominidae.
CGGUUCUCUAAUUUGACUCAGCUUCAGAUUGGAAUGUUUCUCUCCUCACUGGGAAAAGCUCCUUUGGUCUCAGUGAACUCAGAGGUGGAGAAAGUCAUAAGAAUCAGGGAGCCUGCCCCAAAUUGCCUCCUAUGAUAACUUUCCACAAAGACUGGAGGGGAGGCUUCAAACAUCUUCCUGCAGUGUCCAGCAAGACAGCGAGGCAGACUCCCUUUCUCCUGCCAAAGCCACGUGGAGCCAGACAGAACCACAAGCAUACCUGUGGUGCUUGGAGGCCCAAGUAGAAACUUGAAUGCUCACGGCUGCAUUGGCAGCUUCUACUUGCCUGCCUGGAUCACCGUUCCUCAUGAGAACUUGGAAAAGCAGGACUAUCAUUCUUGCUUGACAGACGAAGAAACCAAGCCUCAGUUUUGUAGGCUCCUACCAGUGAAAGCCUCCUCACAACUCUCUUCUUCUCCCCAAGGACUGCGUGCAAUUCUACUUGGAGAUCUUCAUAACACCUUAAGGGAAAAAUCCUUUUUGAAAGAAAAACAAGUCUGGGUGGUGCUUGAAAAUUCAGAAGGCAGCUAGAAACUCUGCCAAUUACAACUGGUGAUUGCUGAGUUCUGGAGACAGACUGGGCUUCUGCUUUCUUUUGGUGGAGGUGUCUGCUUGCAGAAAAUUUAUGUUCUGGGAUUUACAACUUCAGGGAGACAAAGGAAACUCCAGCUCAUCUCCCACAUCAUUGAUUGAGAGGACCAUUUUCUGACUGUCUGCACACGGAUGGGCAUUUGAAUUAUUUCCAGUUUUUGGCUAUUAUGAAAAAAACUGCUAUGAACAUUCAUACACAAGUGUGUGUGUGGACCCAUGUUUUCACUGAUCAAGGCCUAAAUACCUACGUGGUGCUUCGUGAACCCUGGAUGCUACAGUCUCUGGCCACAGCACUAAAUGUAUGCUGAGAUCUGGCUUCACGGUCG